Molecule: long non-coding RNA, 416 nt
Organism: Suricata suricatta (meerkat)
Lineage: Eukaryota; Metazoa; Chordata; Mammalia; Carnivora; Herpestidae
Exons: 3
Source: RefSeq, a predicted model, not a curated record
CCGAAGGCAGAGGACCUUCUGUGGGGUCCAGCGCUAGGCACGCCCGCGCUGGACCAGGGCUGCUGGGGACUGGUGGGGGCGGGGGUAGAAUUCCACCCUCUCAGGAGCUGGAAACUGCCUGGGCGAGCGAAUCCCAGCCCCUUGUUAGUGAGAUGAGGAAGCCGCAGCCCCCAGAAGCUCCAUGACCUGGCCAAGCUGAAGGCGGAGCUGUUUUGCAGACACCUGACAAAAGUCAUUUCCACCAGAGGGUUCUGUUUAGUCCUUACACAUGACCUGUGUAUUUUCUCUCCUGGAAUUUGAUAUCUCAGGAAACCUGCCAAGGCCAACUCACCAGGGAGAGACGGCUUAAUCUAUUACACCCUAAUGGAUCAGGAUGGAGGUCACUUAACGUUUCUGAAGACUGCAGGACACGUGUG